UCAAGAAAGUUGUACUGCAGAGCAGGUAGUUUGAAUCUGUGCCACAGGAAGCUUGCCACUGGCCUGAAUCUUCAGGCAUCGCUAUGUGUAUUGCUGUUGUUCACCCAAUAAGCAUCAUUUGCUGCAGUGUGAAAACGUAAUGUAAUCUCUGGAUCAGACAAAGUUAACCAUUCUGUGUGGAGCCCAUGUUCAGUUGAGACCAAGGAAGAAAACUUCCCAGUGAUAAAUUAUAACAGAAGACAAUAACCAUUUUAAAUUGUGUACAGCUGUAUAAAAUAAACACAAACUAAUGUAACAUAUACAAACCAUAUAAUACAAUACUGCUGCUAUGAAAUUAACUUACAGAAUUUUUGCUUUUUCUAGUGUUUUGCAGCUUUUAUGAAUACCAUUUAUAAAAAAAGUUACUGUUAACUUAACUGCCAUUUUACUUUCCGGUUUGUAUUUAUACUGUCAUGCAGACUGUGUAAACAGAGCAGCAAUAAUAACGUGUUACUCCGGUUAGCAGAAUCUAGCAUGGCUUUGUAGCAAACCAAGUACUACAUUAAAAUAAAACGGUCUACAGAAAGACUCCAACACA
Molecule: long non-coding RNA, 577 nt
Organism: Protopterus annectens (West African lungfish)
Lineage: Eukaryota; Metazoa; Chordata; Ceratodontiformes; Protopteridae
Exons: 2
Source: RefSeq, a predicted model, not a curated record